RNAcentral lists this long non-coding RNA (723 nucleotides) under Meleagris gallopavo (turkey). RNAcentral describes it as "lncRNA (ENSMGAG00000019807.1)". The record is from RNAcentral. Lineage: Eukaryota; Metazoa; Chordata; Aves; Galliformes; Phasianidae.
AUGGGGCUGCUGUGUCACACUGAUGUCCAUCCCACCAUGGACAGCCACAGCGGGACUGUCCCUGCCGUGCCCCAGAUGAGCAGUAGAUGCCCAUGUGGGUGCUCCCCGUGCACUGCUGCAGAGCCCCCGGCCCCUGCCGUGCAGCCUCUCCAUGCACCCACGCCAUCCUCACAGAGGAGGAAUAAUUUGGGGAAACCAUGGCAACCCAGGGAUGCACCACAAUGUCCCCAGAUCCCCCCAGCAGCGCGACCUUGCACAGCUCAGUGGGUGGUGUGGUGUCCCUGUGAUGCCGAGCCCACAUCCCUGGAGCUCUCUGUGCCCCGUGGCCCCGGCAGCCACCUGCUUUCAUGGCCAGGACCUUCACACACCUCUUUUAUUUUGCAGCGCUGGGAUGGAGCCGCUGCGAUGCCCUCGGCCAGCUCAGCCCACCUGCCCCAUCCCUGCUGCUGCUGGACCAGGGCCAGCCGCCUUCCCCUGAGGGCAUCUGAAGGAAGCUGGCGACAGAAGCGUCACUUUUAAGAUGACACGAACGGACCCACCUGACAUCCUGGUGUCUACGGUGUACCAAGACAUAAAGGUGGCCUCCGCAGCCCCUGGGGAUUCCAUUGUCCGCCAGCCCCCAGCGCGAUGUGACGCCUCCAUGUCCUCCUCUCUGCCCCGCGACCCGCAGCCCUUCAACAAACGCCACUGCCGGAGCUUCGACUUCCUCGAGUCGCUGGACGA